RNAcentral lists this ribosomal RNA (327 nucleotides) under uncultured bacterium. Its description in RNAcentral is "bacterial SSU rRNA". It matches the Rfam family "Bacterial small subunit ribosomal RNA", at positions 187 to 507 of the family's 1533-position model. The record is from RNAcentral.
UUCGGCUUCUCACGAGAAAGCCACGCGAAGGGCACUGAAGGACGAGCCUGCGGCCCAUCAGCUAGUUGGUGAGGUAAGAGCUCACCAAGGCUAAGACGGGUAGCUGGUCUGAGAGGAUGAUCAGCCACACUGGAACUGAGACACGGUCCAGACUCCUACGGGAGGCAGCAGUGGGGAAUAUUGCGCAAUGGGCGAAAGCCUGACGCAGCCACGCCGCGUGAGCGAUGAAGGCCUUCGGGUCGUAAAGCUCUGUGGGGAGAGACGAAGAAAGCCUGUGAAGAGCAGGCCUUGACGGUAUCUCCUUAGCAAGCACCGGCUAACUCCGUG